CUGUUCCACCCGCCGCGCCUCCGGAGAGACCUGCCGCAGCUUUCGGGCGCGCGCGGCCGGCGCUGCCACCCAGGCGACCGCGAGCGGAACGCGGUGCCUCUUCGGAAGGCCGAGGCCUGCGUGCUCAGCCUUCGGGGCAGCUGAGAACUUAGUGUGCCCGGCGACAUCCCACACCCGAAACGCAGCCCCGCGCCCCCGCCAGCCGGGAGCGCGUCCGGAAGGGGCUCGCCGGGACGCACCAGGAAAACUUAAUUAACGGCGUUUCUAUGAAUGGGCAUCACGGGGCCAGGGUUGCGUAAGCGCGGGCCUUCGCCCCAGGACUCCCGGGAGGCCCAGGCUUGACCGCUCGCUGCUCAGAUGGCGACCCAUGUGCAAGGUCCAGUGGAACCUCGCUGCACGGGGAGGACGAAACCGGACGUUUGCUCGCAAACAGAGCCGCAGGGCACACAGACCCUCGUCCAAGUGCGGCCUUCCGUCCCAAUCAGACGCGUCGGUCCCAGACACUCCCUCGCCUCCACCACGAGCGCUAGCCUCCGGGCCUCGUAUCUACACCACACGCACCCACUGCAAGUCGCCUAAAGUAACUCGGCGAGGGGAGGGCGACGCUUGUUGGCAUAAAUAAAAGACCAGCGAGUUCGGCCAUAUUUUUUAUUCAUUCGGUGUGUGGUUUAUAAGGAAAUAAACAUGCUUGAAUAUCUGGAAUGACCAGAAAUCGGACGCAUGUGCAAGAAAAUGGUGUAACAAAGACAAGUUUCAAAAGGUGAAACUGCCAUUUUCUUCGGUAACUUACAAAGUUACCGGUUUUCUACUGACAUCUGCCCUUGGAUGUUUUAAUACACGGAGCCCAGAGGGACUGGAAGCCUGUCCCGAGUUGGGAAUAUUAAAUCUGUCCAGUAUUCAA
Molecule: long non-coding RNA, 901 nt
Organism: Myotis myotis
Lineage: Eukaryota; Metazoa; Chordata; Mammalia; Chiroptera; Vespertilionidae
Exons: 2
Source: RefSeq, a predicted model, not a curated record